UACGAAGGGGGCUAGCGUUGCUCGGAAUCACUGGGCGUAAAGCGCACGUAGGCGGGUCCUUAAGUCAGGGGUGAAAUCCCGGAGCUCAACUCCGGAACUGCCUUUGAUACUGGGGAUCUUGAGUCCGGAAGAGGUGAGUGGAACUCCGAGUGUAGAGGUGAAAUUCGUAGAUAUUCGGAAGAACACCAGUGGCGAAGGCGGCUCACUGGUCCGGUACUGACGCUGAGGUGCGAAAGCUAGGGGAGCGAACGGG
This 253-nucleotide ribosomal RNA is filed under the name uncultured bacterium. RNAcentral describes it as "partial 16S ribosomal RNA". It matches the Rfam family "Bacterial small subunit ribosomal RNA", at positions 524 to 776 of the family's 1533-position model. The record is from RNAcentral.